Long non-coding RNA from Hylaeus volcanicus, 905 nucleotides. RefSeq lists it as uncharacterized. The transcript has 3 exons. The record is from RefSeq and is a predicted model, not a curated record. Lineage: Eukaryota; Metazoa; Arthropoda; Insecta; Hymenoptera; Colletidae.
GCCUAGGGUUUUGCCCAUCAGAAAGAAACGUUAUUCUCCGUCAUUUUCAGUCAUUCUACUCAAACAUCAUACGCAAACUAGAAAAUAGGGAAAAUAGAAUUGUAUGAUACUUUUUACUGAUUUUUUAGGAACAACACCUGCCAAGAAAGUCUUAUCCUCGUCAAUUUACGAUAACAUCACCUCAUGAACGAAUCCUUCAAAGAUUUAGGGAAACUACAUGCCUUUGAAUGCUGAUAUAAAUAUGGCACAAAUUGCAAAUUCGACUGCCUUAUCUGAUGUUACUUUGAUCAAUAAUAAUGUAUGUGCUGCAUCCACUUUGAGCAAUGAUCAUCAGAAAAGUACAUCACCUUGUAUACUUCUUCAACGUCUAGUCUAUCUUGUAUUUCACUCGACUCCAGAGAUUCGCAUGAUGGUAAAAAUGUAACAGGUUACUGUGAUUACAUCGUAAUCACGUGGUUUUUGUUCACUCCACUUUGUUCAAGUAACGUUUGUUCUAUAAACGUUGACAGUGAUAUGAACGGCCAAAUUAAAUUUUUGGUAGACAAAAUGACGGUUCCACAAACUCAUCAAAUAGAAUUAAUAACACUGGCAGAAUUAGCAGGAAUUUCAGCAAUUCCCGGAGUUUAUCGUAUUAUACUGGAACUUUUGGCACUUCAAAUAUCACCAGAGGGCAUAUACAUUAUUUUGAAACAAAUAUAUCCACAAUCAUCAGACAAACAACAAGGUAUUAACAAUGUUGAAGAAGCACCUGAUGAAUUAACCACACAUUAAAGUGUGUCUUUCUAUAUUUGAUUGUUUAAAUUAAUUUAUAUCUUUUUUUUACGUCAUUACAUAAUUGUUAGAGAAAGUCAUUAAUUAUAAAUGAAUUAUAAAUAAAGUAUAAAAAUAAAUAAUAAUAUUUCUUA